RNAcentral lists this small nucleolar RNA (147 nucleotides) under Lottia gigantea (owl limpet). RNAcentral describes it as "small nucleolar RNA SNORA79". It matches the Rfam family "Small nucleolar RNA SNORA79". From Rfam's summary of the family: ACA65 (SNORA79) is a member of the H/ACA class of snoRNAs that guide the sites of modification of uridines to pseudouridines. The record is from Rfam by way of RNAcentral. Lineage: Eukaryota; Metazoa; Mollusca; Gastropoda; Lottiidae.
UGAUGACGUUCCCCAGUUCUAGAUGAGAUAUGUAGAAACUGGUUUUAGUUCAUCACAUAUUAACAUCAGAACUAACUUCACCCAGAAUAGUCAACUAAUCAGGUGAUUGGUUCAUGGCUAUUCUUGGUUUUGCGGGUUCUCACAAAU